GUAGUCAUAUGCUUGUCUCAAAGAUUAAGCCAUGCAUGUCUAAGUAUAAGCAAUAUAUACCGUGAAACUGCGAAUGGCUCAUUAAAUCAGUUAUCGUUUAUUUGAUAGUACCUUACUACUUGGAUAACCGUGGUAAUUCUAGAGCUAAUACAUGCUAAAAACCUCAACUUCGGAAGGGGUGUAUUUAUUAGAUAAAAAACCAAUGCCCUUCGGGGCUCCUUGGUGAUUCAUAAUAACUUAACGAAUCGCAUGGCCUUGUGCUGGCGAUGGUUCAUUCAAAUUUCUGCCCUAUCAACUUUCGAUUGUAGAAUAGUGGUCUACAAUGGUUUCAACGGGUAACGGGGAAUUAGGGUUCUAUUCCGGAGAGGGAGCCUGAGAAACGGCUACCACAUCCAAGGAAGGCAGCAGGCGCGCAAAUUACCCAAUCCCGACACGGGGAGGUAGUGACAAUAAAUACUGAUACAGGGCUCUUUUGGGUCUUGUAAUUGGAAUGAGUACAAUUUAAAUCCCUUAACGAGGAACAAUUGGAGGGCAAGUCUGGUGCCAGCAGCCGCGGUAAUUCCAGCUCCAAUAGCGUAUAUUAAAGUUGUUGCAGUUAAAAAGCUCGUAGUUGAACCUUGGGCCUGGUUGGCCGGUCCGCCUCACCGCGUGCACUGGUCCGACCGGGUCUUUCCUUCUGAGGAGCCGCAUGCCCUUCACUGGGUGUGUCGGGGAAUCAGGACUUUUACUUUGAAAAAAUUAGAGUGUUCAAAGCAGGCCUAUGCUCGAAUACAUUAGCAUGGAAUAAUAGAAUAGGACGUGUGGUUCUAUUUUGUUGGUUUCUAGGACCGCCGUAAUGAUUAAUAGGGAUAGUCGGGGGCAUCAGUAUUCAAUUGUCAGAGGUGAAAUUCUUGGAUUUAUUGAAGACUAACUACUGCGAAAGCAUUUGCCAAGGAUGUUUUCAUUAAUCAGUGAACGAAAGUUAGGGGAUCGAAGACGAUCAGAUACCGUCGUAGUCUUAACCAUAAACUAUGCCGACUAGGGAUCGGGCGAUGUUAUCUUUUUGACUCGCUCGGCACCUUACGAGAAAUCAAAGU
RNAcentral lists this ribosomal RNA (1076 nucleotides) under Vibrissea truncorum. Its description in RNAcentral is "SSU rRNA". It matches the Rfam family "Eukaryotic small subunit ribosomal RNA", at positions 20 to 1104 of the family's 1831-position model. Lineage: Eukaryota; Fungi; Ascomycota; Leotiomycetes; Helotiales; Vibrisseaceae. The record is from RNAcentral.